This 467-nucleotide ribosomal RNA is filed under the name uncultured bacterium. RNAcentral describes it as "bacterial SSU rRNA". It matches the Rfam family "Bacterial small subunit ribosomal RNA", at positions 28 to 507 of the family's 1533-position model. The record is from RNAcentral.
GACGAACGCUGGCGGCGCGCCUAACACAUGCAAGUCGAACGAGCGAGAGAGAGCUUGCUUUCUCGAGCGAGUGGCGAACGGGUGAGUAACGCGUGAGGAACCUGCCUCAAAGAGGGGGACAACAGUUGGAAACGACUGCUAAUACCGCAUAAGCCCACGACCCGGCAUCGGGUUGAGGGAAAAGGAGCAAUCCGCUUUGAGAUGGCCUCGCGUCCGAUUAGCUAGUUGGUGAGGUAACGGCCCACCAAGGCAACGAUCGGUAGCCGGACUGAGAGGUUGAACGGCCACAUUGGGACUGAGACACGGCCCAGACUCCUACGGGAGGCAGCAGUGGGGAAUAUUGCACAAUGGGGGGAAACCCUGAUGCAGCGACGCCGCGUGGAGGAAGAAGGUCUUCGGAUUGUAAACUCCUGUUGUUGAGGAAGAUAAUGACGGUACUCAACAAGGAAGUGACGGCUAACUACGUG